Molecule: ribosomal RNA, 486 nt
Filed under: Laetiporus sp. OLRIM1035
Lineage: Eukaryota; Fungi; Basidiomycota; Agaricomycetes; Polyporales; Laetiporaceae
Description: eukaryotic LSU rRNA
Rfam family: 5.8S ribosomal RNA (bases 149-303)
Source: RNAcentral
CCCCUUGUCCACAAACACACCCCCGUGCACGUUGAAGGCCCGGCUCGUUGAGUGGGUGGGCGACCGCCCAGGAUUCGUAGCCUCGCUUUCUUACACAAACUUCAGAAUGUACAUCAGAAUGUCUUACGCGUGUAACGCAUCGUAAUAUAACUUUCAGCAAACGGAUCUCUUGGCUCUCGCAUCGAUGAAGAACGCAGCGAAAUGCGAUAAGUAAUGUGAAUUGCAGAAUUCAGUGAAUCAUCGAAUCUUUGAACGCACCUUGCGCUCCUUGGCAUUCCGAGGAGCAUGCCUGUUUGAGUGUCAUGAAACUCUCAACCCCUGCCAUCUUUGCGGAUGAGCGUCGGUUGGAUUUUGGAGGUUGCCGGACUCGUUCGGCUCCCCUUGAAAGCAUAGUAAAGCUUGGACCUGACCGACCGGGUGGACGUGAUAGAAAGUCACCGUCGACCGAAGGGUCCGUCGCUGAACGGUUCAAGCUUUGUUUGUCGU